GAACAGGUAAAGAAGAAGGUUCGUAUAAUCCCGAGAAUAUGGCUCGGGAGUUUCUACGAGGCCGCCGUAAACGGCCUGGCUACGAACGAAACGUCAACGGGA
RNAcentral lists this non-coding RNA (102 nucleotides) under Bacillus sp. (in: firmicutes). RNAcentral describes it as "Bacillus sp. Guanine sequence". It matches the Rfam family "Purine riboswitch aptamer". From Rfam's summary of the family: Riboswitches are metabolite binding domains within certain messenger RNAs that serve as precision sensors for their corresponding targets. Allosteric rearrangement of mRNA structure is mediated by ligand binding, and this results in modulation of gene expression. A class of riboswitches that selectively recognises guanine and becomes saturated at concentrations as low as 5 nM. Lineage: Bacteria; Bacillati; Bacillota; Bacilli; Caryophanales; Bacillaceae. RNAcentral also lists the same sequence under 1 other name. The record is from RNAcentral.